UACGUAGGGGCGAGCGUUGUCCGGAAUUAUUGGGCGUAAAGAGCUUGUAGGCGGUUUGUCGCGUCUGCUGUGAAAAUCCGGGGCUCAACCCCGGACUUGCAGUGGGUACGGGCAGACUAGAGUGUGGUAGUGGAGACUGGAAUUCCUGGUGUAGCGGUAAAAUGCGCAGAUAUCAGGAGGAACACCGGUGGCGAAGGCGGGUCUCUGGGCCUUACCUGACGCUGAGGAGCGAAAGCAUGGGUAGCCAACAGGAUUAGAUACCCCGGUAGUCCCUGAG
This 277-nucleotide ribosomal RNA is filed under the name uncultured prokaryote. Its description in RNAcentral is "partial 16S ribosomal RNA". It matches the Rfam family "Bacterial small subunit ribosomal RNA", at positions 524 to 801 of the family's 1533-position model. The record is from RNAcentral.